AACGAACGCUGGCGGCAUGCCUAACACAUGCAAGUCGAACGAGACCUUCGGGUCUAGUGGCGCACGGGUGCGUAACGCGUGGGAACCUGCCCUUAGGUUCGGAAUAACUCCCCGAAAGGGGUGCUAAUACCGGAUAAUGUCUUCGGGCCAAAGAUUUAUCGCCUUUGGAUGGGCCCGCGUUGGAUUGGCUAGUUGGUAGGGUAAAAGCCUACCAAGGCGACGAUCCAUAGCUGGUCUGAGAGGAUGAUCAGCCACACUGGGACUGAGACACGGCCCAGACUCCUACGGGAGGCAGCAGUGGGGAAUAUUGGACAAUGGGCGAAAGCCUGAUCCAGCAAUGCCGCGUGAGUGAUGAAGGCCUUAGGGUUGUAAAGCUCUUUUACCCGGGAUGAUAAUGACAGUACCGGGAGAAUAAGCUCCGGCUAACUCCGUG
Molecule: ribosomal RNA, 433 nt
Filed under: uncultured bacterium
Lineage: Bacteria
Description: partial 16S ribosomal RNA
Rfam family: Bacterial small subunit ribosomal RNA
Source: RNAcentral